Molecule: unclassified non-coding RNA, 329 nt
Filed under: uncultured fungus
Lineage: Eukaryota; Fungi
Description: partial contains small subunit ribosomal RNA, internal transcribed spacer 1, and 5.8S ribosomal RNA
Rfam family: Eukaryotic small subunit ribosomal RNA (bases 1-73)
Source: RNAcentral
GCAAACUUGGUCAUUUAGAGGAAGUAAAAGUCGUAACAAGGUUUCCGUAGGUGAACCUGCGGAAGGAUCAUUAAUGAAAUUCUUGAAUCGUGGUUGUAGCUGGCCCGUAAAAACGGCAUGUGCACGCCACCUUUCACUAAUCCACACACACCUGUGCACCUUCGCGGGGGCUUCUGGGAGCACGACGUCAAGUCGUUAGUACCGGGAGCUCGCGUCCCUUUACACACCCCAUUGUAUGUCUUAAGAAUGUCUACUCGAUGUAAUAAAACGCAUCUAAUACAACUUUCAACAACGGAUCUCUUGGCUCUCGCAUCGAUGAAGAACGCAGC